Molecule: ribosomal RNA, 422 nt
Filed under: uncultured Mucilaginibacter sp.
Lineage: Bacteria; Pseudomonadati; Bacteroidota; Sphingobacteriia; Sphingobacteriales; Sphingobacteriaceae
Description: bacterial SSU rRNA
Rfam family: Bacterial small subunit ribosomal RNA
Source: RNAcentral
UAAGGAAUAUUGGUCAAUGGGCGGAAGCCUGAACCAGCCAUGCCGCGUGCAGGAAGACGGCCCUACGGGUUGUAAACUGCUUUUGUACCGGAAUAAACCCCCGUUCGUGAACGGGGCUGAAUGUACGGUAAGAAUAAGGAUCGGCUAACUCCGUGCCAGCAGCCGCGGUAAUACGGAGGAUCCAAGCGUUAUCCGGAUUUAUUGGGUUUAAAGGGUGCGUAGGCGGCCUGUUAAGUCAGGGGUGAAAGACGGUAGCUCAACUAUCGCAGUGCCCUUGAUACUGAUGGGCUUGAAUGUACUAGAGGUAGGCGGAAUGUGACAAGUAGCGGUGAAAUGCAUAGAUAUGUCACAGAACACCAAUUGCGAAGGCAGCUUACUAUGGUAUGAUUGACGCUGAGGCACGAAAGCGUGGGGAUCAAACA